UACGUAGGGGGCAAGCGUUGUCCGGAAUCAUUGGGCGUAAAGAGCGUGUAGGCGGCUCGGUAAGUCCGCUGUGAAAGUCCAGGGCUCAACCCUGGAAUGCCGGUGGAAACUGUCGAGCUCGAGUCCGGAAGAGGCGAGUGGAAUUCCUGGUGUAGCGGUGAAAUGCGCAGAUAUCAGGAGGAACACCAAUGGCGAAGGCAGCUCGCUGGGACGGUACUGACGCUGAGACGCGAAAGCGUGGGUAGCAAACAGG
RNAcentral lists this ribosomal RNA (253 nucleotides) under uncultured bacterium. RNAcentral describes it as "partial 16S ribosomal RNA". It matches the Rfam family "Bacterial small subunit ribosomal RNA", at positions 524 to 776 of the family's 1533-position model. The record is from RNAcentral.